This 460-nucleotide ribosomal RNA is filed under the name uncultured bacterium. Its description in RNAcentral is "partial 16S ribosomal RNA". It matches the Rfam family "Bacterial small subunit ribosomal RNA", at positions 338 to 795 of the family's 1533-position model. The record is from RNAcentral.
CCUACGGGCGGCAGCAGUGAGGAAUAUUGGUCAAUGGACGAGAGCCUGAACCAGCCAAGUAGCGUGAAGGAUGACUGCCCUAUGGGUUGUAAACUUCUUUUAUAUGGGAAUAAAAUGCUCUAUGUGUACUCUUUUGCAUGUACCUUAUGAAUCAGGCUCGGCUAACUCCGUGCCAGCAGCCGCGGUAAUACGGAGGAUCCGAGCGUUAUCCGGAUUUAUUGGGUUUAAAGGGAGCGUAGGCGGGUUGUUAAGUCAGUUGUGAAAGUUUGCGGCUCAACCGUAAAAUUGCAGUUGAUACUGGCAGUCUUGAGUACAGUAGAGGUGGGCGGAAUUCGUGGUGUAGCGGUGAAAUGCUUAGAUAUCACGAAGAACUCCGAUUGCGAAGGCAGCUCGCUGGACUGUAACUGACGCUGAGGCUCGAAAGUGUGGGUAUCAAACAGGAUUAGAUACCCUAGUAGUC